This 253-nucleotide ribosomal RNA is filed under the name uncultured bacterium. Its description in RNAcentral is "partial 16S ribosomal RNA". It matches the Rfam family "Bacterial small subunit ribosomal RNA", at positions 524 to 776 of the family's 1533-position model. The record is from RNAcentral.
UACGGAGGAGGCAAGCGUUAUCCGGAAUUAUUGGGCGUAAAGCGUCCGCAGGUGGCCCUUCAAGUCUGUCGUCAAAGACUGGGGCUUAACCCCGGAAAGGCGGUGGAAACUGAAGCGCUAGAGUGCGGUAGGGGUAGAGGGAAUUCCCGGUGUAGCGGUGAAAUGCGUAGAGAUCGGGAAGAACAUCGGUGGCGAAAGCGGCGCACUGGACCAUAACUGACGCUGAGGCGCGAAAGCUAGGGGAGCAAACAGG